GCUCGGCCUCAACAUGUCCUCGAGCGCCAUUACCGCCGCCCUCGCGCUCAUAGUCCUCGACUUCAAGGACGCCCGCCCCUGCCUGGAGAAGUAUUUGUCUGCAGUCAAACUGAACCAAGGGUAGAAAAGUAUGGCGUUGACCCUGCACUUGCCCAUUGUUUUCCAUCACCAGCAUAAGGCGAGCAGCCAGACAUCAUGUAGUAAGAGCUGAGGUGUUCCUGCCUACAGAUGUUGCAAAUUGUCAGGUAGCAUUGGGUCUCAUUCCAGAAAGAGAGAUCUUUAUUCAGUUGUUGAUGGGGAGCUGCCAGGAUCCUGAGGAUUUUGGAGGAGAUGUCAUGAUAUUGGGCUCCAUUGUACAGCCUCUGCUAGAGGAGUUCAAUGCCAUUUUGGUUAAACACCAGCUGGACAUGCUCAAAUGCACCUGAAACACAAGGAUGCCCAAUCACCUGAUGAUUGUACAUAUCUACUACUGUACUGCACAAGCUAAUUAACCUAGCUUGCAUUGUAAAAUGAAGAUUUGUUGGUGUUUCUUUUAGAAACUGCUGGUGGUUGGUUCCAGACUCCCUUUUUGUUAAGGAGAUGUCUUUGCUGUAUGUGUUUGUGCCCUUGUAGUUGUAGUGGGUUGGAUGUAUCAUAGAACUUAUCUGCCUGAAACAAAAUGCAUCUCUUGUUUCUCUU
Long non-coding RNA from Hordeum vulgare subsp. vulgare (domesticated barley), 678 nucleotides. RefSeq lists it as uncharacterized. The record is from RefSeq and is a predicted model, not a curated record. Lineage: Eukaryota; Viridiplantae; Streptophyta; Magnoliopsida; Poales; Poaceae. The transcript has 4 exons.